This 450-nucleotide ribosomal RNA is filed under the name uncultured bacterium. Its description in RNAcentral is "partial 16S ribosomal RNA". It matches the Rfam family "Bacterial small subunit ribosomal RNA", at positions 338 to 795 of the family's 1533-position model. The record is from RNAcentral.
CCUACGGGGGGCUGCAGUGGGGAAUAUUGCGCAAUGGGCGAAAGCCUGACGCAGCGACGCCGCGUGGGUGAUGAAGGCCUUCGGGUUGUAAAGCCCUGUCGGGUGGAACGAACGAUCUGGCGGCGAAUAACCGCCGGGUGUGACGGUACCACCGAAGGAAGCCCCUGCUAACUACGUGCCAGCAGCCGCGGUAAGACGUAGGGGGCGAGCGUUGUUCGGAUGUGCUUGGCCUACAGCGCACGUAGGCUGCGAAAUCCCGCGGCUGAACCGGGGUCCCGCAUCCGAUACUGUCUGGCUCGAGUCUAGGAGAGGAAAGCGGAAUUCCCAGUGUAGCGGUGAAAUGCGUAGAUAUUGGGAGGAACACCGGUGGCGAAGGCGGCUUUCCGGACUAGUACUGACGCUGAGGCGCGAAAGCUAGGGGAGCGAACGGGAUUAGAUACCCCGGUAGUC